AGACCUGGGUUACAUGCUGCUGUUGGAUUCACAUGGCCUGCACCAAUGUCAAAGAGGGUGGAUGGGAAGAACCAAAUAUCAGUAAUGGGCUUGCCUCCAAGGUUAUACAAAUUAGCCGUGGUCAUGAUGGCUGAUUUUAUGGCUGCAGGUGACCAGUCAGGGUGUACACUUUUGAGCAAAGCAGCAACGCCACUAAGAUGAGGGCAAGACAUUGAGGUUCCAGAGAGGAACUCGAACCUGUUGGUAGUAUUGUCAGCUGAAUGUGGCCAAGCAGCUAAAAUUCUCACACCAGGGCCUAUAAUGUCUGGUUUCAAGAUACCAGGACUUGCUGUGCUUGGACCUCUAGAGGAAAAGGAAGCAACUUGAGGAGCCUCUGGCAAGCCAAAUACAGUUCCUUUAAACAAGAUUGUAGCUUUUGGUGAUGAUGUUGCGUUUAUAUAGGCUUUAAUUGCUGAUCCUGCAAUGUAACUCACAUGUGAUGCAGGAAGCACAUGAUUAUCAGCUUGAGUAACAAAGCCCUCAUCCUGAUCAUUCAUUACAAUCAUGGCAGCACCACCAUUGUCUUUAACCUCCUGGCCUUUAGAAACCGUUUCAUAUCCUCCUUCACACAACACUAUUUUACCUUUCACGUUAACAUUUUUUAAUGAUCCUUCGUCACAUGAUGCAGAUCGUGCGUCCCCAUUUGCACCAGCAUAAACUAGAGGAAGCAAUUUUGGAAGAAAACUUUUUGGCUGAAAAAGAGAUUCGCCAUUUAACUCUGCUUUGUUUCCAAGUAAAACUGUUGCUCUUAUAGCUCUGUCUACAGUACUUGCCCCUACAGUUAGAAGCCAUGGUGCCUCAUUGGAUAAAGUUUUACUAUAAGGUCCUUCAUUUCCUGCUGAGCAACUCACAAAGAUCCCUUUUUGAAUGGCUGCAUAUGCAGCAAUUGCAAGAACAUCGUCAUAAAAAGGAUGUGAAUCGCUACCAAUAGAAAGUGAAAGUACAUCAACGCCAUCCUCAACUGCAGCAUCCAUUGCAGCCAGCAAUUCACUCUCACCAGCCUUAUUGUCUCUGCCAGAAACUUUAUACAUUGCCAAGUGUGAUAAUGGCGCCAUUCCAACUGCAGUUCCAUUGGCUUGGCCAAAGUAGCUGACACCUUGCACAGGACUUCCAGCUGCUGUACUGGCUGUGUGUGUCCCAUGCUCAUCCCUAUCCACCAAGUCAUUACUGUUAGUAGCAAAAUUUCUUGCACCGAUGAGCUUGUUGUUGCAUGAUAAUGUUCCUUUCAACUCGCAUUUCCCUUUCCACUUUUCUGGUGGAGGCGGCAUUCCUUCACCACUAAACGAAGGGUGAUCAGCUGUUAUUCCACUGUCGACAACUCCAAUUAUCACACCCUUGCCAUAAUUGGAUUGCUUCCAAAGUCCUAAAUUUUGCUGGAGCCCCAGGAAGCUAGGUGUAUGAGUCGUAUGCAGAGUCAGCAUCCUUUGGGGCCGGGCUAACACCACUCCUUCCUUUAUUUCUAUGGCCUUUGCUUCCUCUGCUGUAAGUUUUGCAGCAAACCCAGUAACCACAUGGUGGUAGGAGUGAAUCAAACGUGGUUGGACUUGGUCUGAGCUAAAGCUGUUAGCUGGCAAAAAUGAUUGAUACCAGCUAUCUAAAUCUUUGGACUCUGUGAACUGUACAUCUUCUGGUUUCAUUAAAAGCACAAUAUAAGUCUCUAAGUUGCUUUCCUCUUCCAGAGUUGCUUCACUUGUUGAUGACCUAACUGGUGUCUCAGAAAUGGCUAUUGAGAACCUAAAGAUGGAAUUGAGAAUAAGGAAAGACAUAAGCAACAUGGUUGGAUAUUUUUUGCAGCUUCUGUUUUCCAUACUAUGGGAACAACUAGAAAGUGUUGCUGCUUCUGAGUUGCUUCAACCUUACUCAAGAGUGCGCAUAUAUAGCAUCUUUAGCCACAGAGAAACACAUUUUUUAAAAGAUUUGGAAUAUUUUUAAAAUAAACAUUUUUAUAUUUAAUAAAAUUUGCAAAAUUAUAAAUACAUUCAUUUUGCAAAUGAGUGAAUUGUUUAUGGUUAUAAUUUUUCUUAGGUUCAAGUCCAAAUUCGUAAUCAAUGUGAAACUAAAGUGACAUGAUGAGGGGCAAACUACAGCCAUGGAGAUUCGUAAUGGUGCUGGUCAAUGUGAAACUAAAGAGAGAUAAUGGGUGGCCAACUACAGCCAUGGGAGACUUGUAAUGGUGCUAGUCAAUGUUAAAAAUAAAGCUUUAAUGGAAGUCUUGGACCAUUGUCGAAACGUGCUUUGGUUAACCAAUAAUCUCAUGGUGGUUUUCAUAUUCACAUAUUAAUUUACCUUUAUUCCACAAAAAAGUAACAUCAUUGCUAUUCCACAAAAAAGUAACAUCAUUGCUUUAAUGGUGGACUAUUCCAUUGCUUUUAUAUAUAUAUUUACAAGAUUUAUUCAGGCUGAGUCAUUUUAACGGGCCACAGAUUCAAUUAAUAUUUAGUUACUCUUAGAGAUAAAAGGGACUGACCCAACAUAAUAAUCAAUCCCGCAAUUACUCUUUCCGCUGCUUACUAAUCCAUUGCUUUAGCUUACACAAACAAUUGGGAUAAUAUAAUUGGGUAGGAACUAUGAAGUCUUUGUUGUUCUAAUUAAUCAACCACAUGCACUAAUGAGAUUUUUAUUAUCUUUUAGAUAAGAUUAAAAAGCUCCAAUUGAUUUUUUAAGCUGAAUAUAUUAUUAAUUUUCCAAUAAAAAAACUAAAGCUUUACAGAAUAAUCCAUGAACAAAGAAUUGCUCAAAGAAUUUCUCAAAAAAAAAAAAUAUCAGCAAAAAGAAUGUUACUUUAAGAACAUGCAUACAUCAUAACUAUGUCAUAGCUCUUCUCUAACAUUUCUCCUUGUCAUAUUGACCGCUGCAAACUCAAAAUCUUUCUCUUAACAAUUCAAACCUGAACUUCUGCAAAUCUUUGGUAAAAAUAUCAGCUAAUUGAUCUUCAAAGGAACAAUGUAAAAUUGCACUUCAUCUCUUUCAACUUCUACUAUAAAAUUGAUAUUUGAUUUUAAUGUGUCUAGUUUUCCCAUGAAGCACAUGAUUUCCCCCAUGGCAACAGCAGGUUAUUGUCACAGAAAACCUCAGUAGUCUUUUAAGAAGUUUCCUAAGACAUAAGACUUGAUUUACAGCAACUGGUGGGUGAAGCACACACACUUUUUCUUUCAUUUCAUCAUAUAUAUAAUUGAAAGAUUUUUACUUUAUAAAUCAAUACUCACUCCCCAAGAAAUAAGGAAGUUUGGAUAAUCGUUUUGAGUUGAAAUUAAGCUCCUCCUCCACUAAUUAGUACAAAAAGACUAAAACUUACACAAUUCCCAAGGAAUUUCUGGAUCUUAAAAAAAAAAAAAAAGCAAAAAAAAGCUACUUUAAAGGCAGCAUAUGUCUAUAAAAGAAUAUGACAAGUGCAAAUUCAGAACUUUAACUUAAACACAGCCAGUCGUUUAAAAUUUGGAGUCGUCUCCUCCAAAAAUCAAGCCAGCUCACCAUUUCGUGUAGAAGACAGCUGAAAAGCAGGUGGGUCGUUUUAGAAAAGCGACAUUAUAUUGGAAAUAAACGUACAAUAAAAAUUGUUCAAUGAAAAAGGCCAGCCGUUUAAUGUGAACCGGAUUUCUUCUAAAAUAAACGGCAAGUUUAGGACAGGUAAAAAUAAUCUGUCUCCCGUUUUGUUUACUUAUUAUUUUUUUUUAGACGCUCCCAAAUAAUUGUAAGAUUUCUAAAUUUAAAUAUAUAAGGAAUUAGUUUACAACCUUUAUAAUUAUUUAUUGAACGAAAGACUUCUGAUAUGUUAAUAAGUUAUUAAAAAUAAAAAAAAAGACAAAAUAACUUUUGUUAAAUUAAAUUUUUAAUAUUUAUAUUUUGCCAAAUUAUGCAAACAAAAUGACACGCCAGUGUAUUUUAAAAUUAAGGGAUACGUUAAACCUGCCGUUUAACAAAGACCACAUCAGGAAACCAUGCUCGCCAUUGAUUCUCUACAAUGCCAAAAGCUUCCAGUCUGAGUUCCUUGUUUUGAUGUAGGUUGUUUUUAUAUACUUUUUGGUUUUUCUAUACUUUUUUUUCUAGUAGCAAUUGAUUGUCAGGGGGAUAACGUGAAGCUAGCGGACAAAAAUGGCUAACUGACCGUAAAAUUCAGAAUUUGCAAGUGAGUUAAUCAGCGAUAUUUGUUCGUCUUACUCAGUAUAGAGUGAUCGACUAUGUGCCAUUCUAUUAGUUUGAUUGUUGGUUCUCGGCUGUGAAAUGACAUUUCUGAUUGUAAUGGUGAUCGCAUUUGGUCGAUAGUGCACAACAAAUGAUUGUGAAUUUACCCAAACUCGUUCCAUUCAGUAGCAGCAAGAACUGCGAGAGAGAACUUUGAAGGUGCAUUUCUGUUUCUAUCAUGUUUACUCUUCAAUUUUGGUGCCGAGAAAUUCGAAGUGAUCUCUUAGUUUCUUUAUUCGAUCUUGGUUGUUGAAUAGAAGCCAACUGGUUUUUAACAAGCAAGUUCACUCCUUUUAUCCAUUAUUAUUUCUAGUAAGGUUUGCAUUGGAUAACCCAUACACCUAUACCCUAUACUUGCUUAUUUAAGUUGGAUAGCAAUUGGGCUCCUAACAAUGUACCCUUCACCCACCCAAUUUAGGUAUCCCUGAGCGUAGGAUCCGUUACCUUUCCCAUUUUUGCGAAAUGUUACCGAGUAUGUAGCUUUCUGGUUCACCUUGCUGAAAAUAAUCUUAUGAGGGGUCACCAUAAUAUCUACACCAUUUGGAGCAACGAUCUCAAGGAAGUAAACUGAGUGAGGCGGGCCAACAUUUGUGACUGUUCUUGUGUAUCUCUGCGGACUAGACCCGAGUACGAUUGAAAAUGAAGGAUAAUUCAGCUGUGCUUCAGGUAUUCUUGUUCUUUUUGAGCACUUCACUUUCUUCUGCACUAUAAUUCUUACAUGUUUGUCUGAAUAACCGAGACCACAUAAAUAAGGAAUGUAAUCUUUAGGUUGGAUGUCGUAAAUAAGUCCUGGAUUAUUUGCUCUUGAUGGGUUCACAUGCCCUGCACCAACAUCAAAGAGAGUGGAUGGAAAGAAUUGAUCGUUAGUAAUGGGUUGGCCUCCAAAAUUAUACAGAUUAGCCGUGGUCAUGAUCGCUGAUUUUAUGGCUGCAGGUGACCAGUCAGGGUGUACACUUUUGAGCAAAGCAGCAAUGCCACUAAGAUGAG
Molecule: long non-coding RNA, 5208 nt
Filed under: Jatropha curcas
Lineage: Eukaryota; Viridiplantae; Streptophyta; Magnoliopsida; Malpighiales; Euphorbiaceae
Description: long non-coding RNA (JCUR_LNC002861)
Source: RNAcentral